This 462-nucleotide long non-coding RNA is filed under the name Coffea arabica (coffee). RNAcentral describes it as "long non-coding RNA (CARA_LNC007782)". Lineage: Eukaryota; Viridiplantae; Streptophyta; Magnoliopsida; Gentianales; Rubiaceae. The record is from RNAcentral.
GCAGAGAGCAAGACAAAAUCUGUAGCACCUCUCCUUACCAAGCUAGCAUCGAGAGAAAACAGAGAGAGUGAGAAAAGAGAGCGAAACUGAGGAAGUGAGAGCAGGGGCUUGGUUGGUUUCUUCACCAAUUAACCCAGGCACAAGAAGAAAUAUCGCAAGGAAAGUAAGGGAGGCUGGAGCUAACACUCGAGGGAACAAAAGUUGGGAAGAGAAACUGAUUACGUCUGCAAUUCCUAACACUUAAGGCCAGAGGUAAGUUUUUGUGAAUAAUGCUUAUGUACUGAAUAGAACUGAGCAUAUGUUAAGCUGUAACAUGUCAUAAAGCCUCUUAACUUCAUCAAGCAAGACCAAAAUGAGUAUAAACUAAGGUGAACAUAACAAGACAAGUGCAUUCGGCUGAUUGCAGGUUGGUUGGUCGAGGGAAUUAAGCAGGAUAUGUAACCUGUUGUUGCUAAUUCUGAA